UACGAAGGGGGCUAGCGUUGCUCGGAAUGACUGGGCGUAAAGGGCGCGUAGGCGGUUUGGACAGUCAGGCGUGAAAUUCCCGGGCUUAACCUGGGGGCUGCGCUUGAUACAUCCAGGCUUGAGUGGGGAAGAGGGUCGUGGAAUUCCCAGUGUAGAGGUGAAAUUCGUAGAUAUUGGGAAGAACACCGGUGGCGAAGGCGGCGACCUGGUCCUUUACUGACGCUGAGGCGCGAAAGACGUGGGGAGCAAACAGG
RNAcentral lists this ribosomal RNA (254 nucleotides) under uncultured bacterium. Its description in RNAcentral is "partial 16S ribosomal RNA". It matches the Rfam family "Bacterial small subunit ribosomal RNA", at positions 524 to 776 of the family's 1533-position model. The record is from RNAcentral.